GCGGGUAUAGCACAAUGGCAGUGCGUCUGCCUUCCAAGCAGAAUACACGGGUUCGACUCCCGUUACCCGCUCCA
RNAcentral lists this transfer RNA (74 nucleotides) under Candidatus Berkelbacteria bacterium. Its description in RNAcentral is "tRNA-Gly". It matches the Rfam family "tRNA". From Rfam's summary of the family: Transfer RNA (tRNA) molecules are approximately 80 nucleotides in length. Their secondary structure includes four short double-helical elements and three loops (D, anti-codon, and T loops). Lineage: Bacteria; Candidatus Berkelbacteria. The record is from RNAcentral.